ACCUUUCCCUAGUACGAGAGGACCGAGAAGAACGCACCCAUGGUGUACCAGUUAUCUUGCCCACGGUAAACAAUGGGCAGCCAAGUGCAGAGCGGAUAACUGCUGAAAGCAUCUAAGAAUUGA
Molecule: non-coding RNA, 123 nt
Organism: Lupinus albus (white lupine)
Lineage: Eukaryota; Viridiplantae; Streptophyta; Magnoliopsida; Fabales; Fabaceae
Source: the annotation of a GenBank genome assembly